UCAUUAUAUGAGUUGAAAAAUUACAAAGAAAAGUUUCAUCGCAACUCUUGCGAUUGGCUUAUAUGGUACUCUUCUUUCAGAAAGUAAAGAGGAAGUGAAAGAAUAGAAAAAAAAUGAGAACAAAAAGGUAUAGGAUGUGCUGCAUGGUCAUUAGAUCCAUGCAUUUCUUGUCUUUCUUUAUUCUAUUGGAAUAGAGUGAUAUGUAUAUGUAUAUGUAUGUAUGAAUGUAUGUAUAUAUGCAUAUAUAUAUAUAUAUAUAUGUGUGUGUGUGUGUGAGAGAGAGAGAGAGAGAGGGAGAGAGCAUGUCACAACUACAACUGCGAAUAUCUAGUUGAGUUUAGGUCCAUCACAAUAAUGAAAAUCUCACAAAUUCUUUUUUUUUUUUUGGACUAUUACAUUUGAUAUCUAACACAUUCAACACUCUCCCUUAAUAAAGAAGGGAUGCAGAGAAGCUAAAAUCACAAUCAACACCUAUUCUAGGGUUUUUAACCUUUAUUUUGAAAAAAAAAAGCCUAAAACAAAAAAGGAGGCCCCUUGAUCAGAGCUCUAUGCCACAUAACCAGACCCAUAGAAUAAGAAGAAACCAAAGAAAGGAUAAGUGAAAGAAGGGG
Molecule: long non-coding RNA, 611 nt
Filed under: Elaeis guineensis (African oil palm)
Lineage: Eukaryota; Viridiplantae; Streptophyta; Magnoliopsida; Arecales; Arecaceae
Description: long non-coding RNA (EGUI_LNC026829)
Source: RNAcentral